GUCAGCAUGGUGUAGUGGUUUUGAGUAUUGGACUACGACUCUGGAGACCAGGGUUCGAUUUCCAGCUCGGCCA
This is a non-coding RNA of Phrynosoma platyrhinos (Desert horned lizard), 73 nucleotides long. Lineage: Eukaryota; Metazoa; Chordata; Lepidosauria; Squamata; Phrynosomatidae. The record is from the annotation of a GenBank genome assembly.